This 402-nucleotide ribosomal RNA is filed under the name uncultured bacterium. Its description in RNAcentral is "bacterial SSU rRNA". It matches the Rfam family "Bacterial small subunit ribosomal RNA", at positions 28 to 412 of the family's 1533-position model. The record is from RNAcentral.
GACGAACGCUGGCGGCGUGCUUAACACAUGCAAGUCGAACGAGAAUCUACUGAAAGAGUUUUCGGACAAUGGAUGUAGAGGAAAGUGGCGGACGGGUGAGUAACGCGUGAGGAACCUGCCUUGAAGAGGGGGACAACAGUUGGAAACGACUGCUAAUACCGCAUGACGCAUAGAGGUCGCAUGAUCUUUAUGCCAAAGAUUUAUCGCUUCAAGAUGGCCUCGCGUCUGAUUAGCUGGUUGGCGGGGUAACGGCCCGACCAAGGCGACGACCAGUAGCCGGACUGAGAGGUUGGACGGCCACAUUGGGACUGAGAUACGGCCCAGACUCCUACGGGAGGCAGCAGUGGGGAAUAUUGGGCAAUGGGCGCAAGCCUGACCCAGCAACGCCGCGUGAAGGAAGAA